Syzygium oleosum is the source of this 1162-nucleotide long non-coding RNA. RefSeq lists it as uncharacterized. The record is from RefSeq and is a predicted model, not a curated record. The transcript has 2 exons. Lineage: Eukaryota; Viridiplantae; Streptophyta; Magnoliopsida; Myrtales; Myrtaceae.
UUAGAUCAAGACCCAUGACGCAUUAAGAAUUUGCACGAAUAAUAGAGGAUCUUACAAGAAAUAAUGUUUCGCAUGCCGCACUGUCGUUGGUUUUGUCCACGGAGUUGCCCAUGAAGCGAAGCUACAUGACACCUUUACAUGUGUCGCACGACGGAAUAUCUAUUCUAGAUAUUCCUCGGUAUGGACAAAAGCUUUGGGAGAAUGGGAACCACACGGUGCCAACCGCCAGUGUGUAGAAUACUAUCCCCUCUUUCCUUUGUUAGCAUGUGAGUGACUAGGAACUAGUAGGCGAAUUACAAACGGGGCUUCCAGAAGAUUGCUGCAAUCUAGGAAGCAUGGUUAUCCUUUAACAAAUUUCCUUAUUUUUUUAUUUUAAAUCAUAUCUACUUGUCCCGGAGAUAUUCGCACCGACAAGAUUUUUGGACACACGACAGUUUGGUUAUUGAUAAUUUUUAUUUUGCGGGGUUUACUCGAAGUACUCGGACGAUGAAUUGCGUCGUUGGUUAGCGUUUGGAGUGCUAAUGUGGCUAUUGUACCUUUUGUCUCGCCUCGCGGGUCUACCAUCAGUGCAGUGCAAUCUACGAACACACAUGGACCGGAUGUUGUAUGGGUGAUGUUGAAUUGUGUUGCAAUGGGGGCUAACCAUACACAUGGACUGAAAAGAGAGAUGGUCUUCCUAAUAUCCGACAGAAGGAGUCGGGUAGGGCCGUCCGUGAUCGAAAUCAGUGCCUCAACGAGUCUCAACUACUCCUCCAACUCAGAUUUUGUUGGUCUGUCCUGGGUGCAUGGAAAGCUACCUCGGUCGGGAAGGAGAUGGUUCUACAGAAGAGAACCGGGCGCUCGGAGAUGGUUUCGAGAUCAGUGUAUGGCGGCCAGAUCCAUCAUGGGUUCCCCCGUGCUUCAAAAUCUCAGGAACGAUAGGCGACUUUGAUGAGGAAACCCACCGAGGCAAUCAAGCAAGAUUCAUCAUGAACAAGACGAAAUGCUUGGGCAUGGUGAUGGGGAAGGACGCAUUGACACUUCCCACAUCUAUUGACUCUGCUUGAAUGAGCAGCUUAUCUAUGUCUACAGUUCGAGCUCUUUCUGGAUCAUGCUGCUAAUUAUUAUGAACUGUAAUAAGUUUAUCAAAGAAAAAAGAGAACUUUAUGGUUGUUUUUGGUGA